AAGUCGUAACAAGGUCUCCGUAGGUGAACCUGCGGAAGGAUCAUUAACACGUAUCCACGUUUAUCAACCAACCGAGAACCUGUUUUCACCUCUCCCUUUGCCUGGAAUGAACUGAGCAGCGGUAAGUAUUGUUUGGGUUGUCUUCGGGCGACAGCUUAUCGGGCCACUGCGUAUUUCAACUCGAUUCACGUUGGGUUUUGAUGCGCGACAGUUGUAUUCAGGAUUUCAAAAGGACAUACCCCGCUUGGCACUGCUUUUGUCUCCAGACAAGACAGUGGCGUGUCGAGCAACCCCCCUCAUAACCUAUUUCACCCUUACCGAUUUUGCUAGUUGACUUUUUAUAUGUUGUUGUCAGACUCGUGAGAGCUCUGCGGCACACGUUUAAUCUACUUGAACGUUAAAAAAUACAACUCUUAGCAAUGGAUAUCUUGGUUCUC
Molecule: unclassified non-coding RNA, 437 nt
Filed under: fungal sp.
Lineage: Eukaryota; Fungi
Description: partial internal transcribed spacer region
Rfam family: Eukaryotic small subunit ribosomal RNA (bases 1-46)
Source: RNAcentral